CGGUGUUCAACUGGCGUGCCCGCGGGACGUCCUGCCGGUGAGCUCAGCCCGCGAGGGCGGCUCAACUUGAAAUCCCAUCGCGGUGCUCUUCAUUGAGUGUCGAGGUGGGCCGGCACGAUUACUUUUGAACAAAUUAGAGUGCUUAAAGCAGGCUAAAAUUUUGCCUGAAUACUGUGUAUAUGGAAUAAUGGAAUAGGACCUCGGUUCUAUUUUGUUGGUUUUCGGAACCCCGAGGUAAUGAUUAAUAGGAACGGAUGGGGACAUUCGUAUUGCGACGUUAGAGGUGAAAUUCUUGGAUCGUCGCAAGACGGACUAAAGCGAAAGCAUUUGCCAAAAACGCUUUCAUUGAUCAAGAACGAAAGUUAGAGGUUCGAAGGCGAUCAGAUACCGCCCUAGUUCUAACCAUAAACUAUGCCAGCUAGCGAUCCGCCGACGUCCCUCUGAUGACUCGGCGGGCAGCUUCCGGGAAACCAAAGCUUUUGGGUUCCGGGGGAAGUAUGGUUGCAAAGCUGAAACUUAAAGGAAUUGACGGAAGGGCACCACCAGGAGUGGAGCCUGCGGCUUAAUUUGACUCAACACGGGAAACCUCACCAGGCCCAGACACUGGAAGGAUUGACAGAUUGAGAGCUCUUUCUUGAUUCAGUGGGUGGUGGUGCAUGGCCGUUCUUAGUCGGUGGAGCGAUUUGUCAGGUUAGUUCCGAUAACGGACGAGACUCUGACCUGAUAACUAGACGCACUUGCGGCAUCUCAAAGGUCCGCCGGCGGCUGGCUUUGCGCCCGUCGUCGCGCGCGAUUUUUACUGCCGGCGUACAAUAAAUUCUUCUUAGAGGGACAAGUGG
RNAcentral lists this ribosomal RNA (839 nucleotides) under uncultured eukaryote. RNAcentral's name for it is "SSU rRNA". It matches the Rfam family "Eukaryotic small subunit ribosomal RNA", at positions 635 to 1426 of the family's 1831-position model. The record is from RNAcentral.